GGGUUGUGAGGUUAAGCGACCAAGCGUACACGGUGGAUGCCCUGGCAGUCAGAGGCGAUGAAGGACGUGCUAAUCUGCGAUAAGCGCCGGUAAGGUGAUAUGAACCGUUAUAACCGGCGAUUUCCGAAUGGGGAAACCCAGUGUGACUCGUCACACUAUCAUUAUGUGAAUACAUAGCGUAAUGAAGCGAACCGGGGGAACUGAAACAUCUAAGUACCCCGAGGAAAAGAAAUCAACCGAGAUUCCCCCAGUAGCGGCGAGCGAACGGGGAGGAGCCCAGAGCCUGAAUCAGCAUGUGUGUUAGUGGAAGCGUCUGGAAAGGCGCGCGAUAGAGGGUGACAGCCCCGUACACAAAAGCGCAUAUGCUGUGAGCUCGAUGAGUAGGGCGGGACACGUGGUAUCCUGUCUGAAUAUGGGGGGACCAUCCUCCAAGGCUAAAUACUCCUGACUGACCGAUAGUGAACCAGUACCGUGAGGGAAAGGCGAAAAGAACCCCGGCGAGGGGAGUGAAACAGAACCUGAAACCGUGUACGUACAAGCAGUGGGAGCCCCACCACUAAGCCAGUGGUGAACUCCACAUACGCAUCCUUUGCGGAAGGUGCGGUUAACGGAGCGUAAGCGACGUUCAACCUCAAAAGAAGCAGAGGGGGCUUAGUGGUGGGGUGACUGCGUACCUUUUGUAUAAUGGGUCAGCGACUUAUAUUCUGUAGCAAGGUUAACCGCAUAGGGGAGCCGAAGGGAAACCGAGUCUUAACCGGGCGUUAAGUUGCAGGGUAUAGACCCGAAACCCGGUGAUCUAGCCAUGGGCAGGUUGAAGGUUGGGUAACACUAACUGGAGGACCGAACCGACUAAUGUUGAAAAAUUAGCGGAUGACCUGUGGCUGGGGGUGAAAGGCCAAUCAAACCGGGAGAUAGCUGGUUCUCCCCGAAAGCUAUUUAGGUAGCGCCUCGUGAACUCAUCUCCGGGGGUAGAGCACUGUUUCGGCUAGGGGGCCAUCCCGGCUUACCAACCCGAUGCAAACUGCGAAUACCGGAGAAUGUUAUCACGGGAGACACACGGCGGGUGCUAACGUCCGUCGUGAAGAGGGAAACAACCCAGACCGCCAGCUAAGGUCCCAAAGUCAUGGUUAAGUGGGAAACGAUGUGGGAAGGCCCAGACAGCCAGGAUGUUGGCUUAGAAGCAGCCAUCAUUUAAAGAAAGCGUAAUAGCUCACUGGUCGAGUCGGCCUGCGCGGAAGAUGUAACGGGGCUAAACCAUGCACCGAAGCUGCGGCAGCGAACGUAUCACUUAAAACGAUUCAGAAGAUUACGAUUGACGGAGCGAAGCGACGUCAAAGCGUAUACAAAGUCGAGUCGGUUUAAGGAUACGUUCGUUGGGUAGGGGAGCGUUCUGUAAGCCGU
Molecule: ribosomal RNA, 1401 nt
Filed under: Salmonella enterica subsp. salamae
Lineage: Bacteria; Pseudomonadati; Pseudomonadota; Gammaproteobacteria; Enterobacterales; Enterobacteriaceae
Description: partial 23S ribosomal RNA
Rfam family: Bacterial large subunit ribosomal RNA
Source: RNAcentral